AUUAUAUGCUCUAGAUUUAGGAUCUAGUUAAAUAGAGAAAUUCUAUAAAUAGUA
Molecule: transfer RNA, 54 nt
Filed under: Etisus dentatus
Lineage: Eukaryota; Metazoa; Arthropoda; Malacostraca; Decapoda; Xanthidae
Description: tRNA-Leu
Source: RNAcentral